RNAcentral lists this ribosomal RNA (197 nucleotides) under uncultured eukaryote. RNAcentral's name for it is "partial Archaeal large subunit ribosomal RNA". The record is from RNAcentral.
GCACAACCAGUUGUUGAGUUGGACCCGGUUGCCGAGCGGCGGCGUGCUAAGGCCCGUGAGCAGCUAGACGCGAAACUGGCGGCCAUGGCAGCCAACGACGAAGACUGGGACGAUGACGACGGAAACGACGGCGGGGGGGUAUGAGAAAUGCACCCGCAUUUCGGCCUGGGUGUGGCAGCCUUCCGCUGCUGAUGCAC